AUCCAAAAUAGAGUGGUGAUGUCUUUUCCAAGCACACAUCUGUUUUGCUCUGUGUGGAAAAUGACUGAGUGAUUUUUAGAU
Molecule: small nucleolar RNA, 81 nt
Organism: Lepidothrix coronata (blue-crowned manakin)
Lineage: Eukaryota; Metazoa; Chordata; Aves; Passeriformes; Pipridae
Source: Ensembl